Molecule: ribosomal RNA, 253 nt
Filed under: uncultured bacterium
Lineage: Bacteria
Description: partial 16S ribosomal RNA
Rfam family: Bacterial small subunit ribosomal RNA
Source: RNAcentral
UACGGGGGGGGCAAGCGUUGUUCGGAUUUACUGGGCGUAAAGGGCUCGUAGGUGGCCAACUAAGUCAGACGUGAAAUCCCCAGGCUUAACCUGGGAACUGCGUCUGAUACUGGAUGGCUUGAAUUCGGGAGAGGGAUGCAGAAUUCCAGGUGUAGCGGUGAAAUGCGUAGAUAUCUGGAGGAAUACCGGUGGCGAAGGCGGCAUCCUGGACCGAGAUUGACACUGAUGAGCGAAAGCUAGGGGAGCAAACGGG